Hibiscus syriacus is the source of this 150-nucleotide long non-coding RNA. RefSeq lists it as uncharacterized. The record is from RefSeq and is a predicted model, not a curated record. NCBI's taxonomy places the organism in Eukaryota, Viridiplantae, Streptophyta, Magnoliopsida, Malvales, Malvaceae. The transcript has 3 exons.
AUCAAGAAGAAAAAGAAGAAAAAGAAAAAGAACUGAGACUACAGAAGAAGGAACAGUUUACUCAGUUUCGAGUAGAUCGACGACAGAAUUGUGCCUUUUAGAGGGACCAGAAGAUGGUAUAGGGAUCCCUUUGGGGAAGAAGUUGAACAU